CAAUAGCGUAUAUUAAAGUUGUUGCGGUUAAAAAGCUCGUAGUUGAACUUCAGACCUGGCCGGGCGGUCUGCCUAACGGUAUGUACUGUCUGGCUGGGUCUUACCUCUUGGUGAGCCGGCAUGCCCUUCACUGGGUGUGUCGGGGAACCAGGACUUUUACCUUGAGAAAAUUAGAGUGUUCAAAGCAGGCCUAUGCCCGAAUACAUUAGCAUGGAAUAAUAAAAUAGGACGUGCGGUUCUAUUUUGUUGGUUUCUAGAGUCGCCGUAAUGAUUAAUAGGGAUAGUUGGGGGCAUUAGUAUUCAGUUGCUAGAGGUGAAAUUCUUGGAUUUACUGAAGACUAACUACUGCGAAAGCAUUUGCCAAGGAUGUUUNCAUUAA
This 379-nucleotide ribosomal RNA is filed under the name uncultured eukaryote. Its description in RNAcentral is "partial 18S ribosomal RNA". It matches the Rfam family "Eukaryotic small subunit ribosomal RNA", at positions 592 to 976 of the family's 1831-position model. The record is from RNAcentral.